Molecule: long non-coding RNA, 1089 nt
Organism: Anolis carolinensis (green anole)
Lineage: Eukaryota; Metazoa; Chordata; Lepidosauria; Squamata; Anolidae
Exons: 4
Source: RefSeq, a predicted model, not a curated record
UGACCCUGCUUGGUCUCCAAGGUAAGAUAAAAUCUGGUGUUCUAGUAUAAGGGGUAAAGCAUUAUGAUUACCUCCCCCGUACAUACAUACACACACACACACACACACAAAGCAUGGUGGACUGUUAGUAUCUGAAUCUGAGUCAGCUGGUGAAUCAAUUAUACACAGGGGCAGCAAAUAUACUCUCAGCUUUAGCUAUCCCUCCUGCAGCUGUUUCAUGUUGUAUGGAAAUUUCCUAUUGCCAAACUUUUAUUUAAAAGAUGUUCCACCACAUGGAGAGCUCUUGUACAACUCUUGUGGGAAUAACAGCUACAAAGUGUCUCCAGUGGUGAAAGUGUAAAGCAAACACAUACACAGAGAGAGAGACUUACUCCAGCACCCACCAUCAUACUUAUCAGAGGAGCUUUGCCUUAAGAUGCAUGCAAGAAGCUCCAGGACAAGAACAAAGAAGGAGAGGAUAGAAGGCAAUCCAUAGUCAUAUGACUUGGUUAAUCAAGUGGAUCUAAGCUCCUCAUGCCAAAGAACACACUGGAAUGAUACUUUUCUUCAAUCAACCAAAAGGUAUGACAUUAAUCACACUAAAAUUUGAAGCUAGCUUCUUCACCAGGGAAAGUUGGUUGAAGAUCAUAUAGGAAAAUAAAAAGUCAAUGUUACAAUCAUAGAUCGGCAUCUUGCCUGCUUGCUUGAAGUGUAAUAGAAUACAUUCCUUUUAGCUUUUCCUCCCUUGCAUGAUUUUAAAAUGAUUGUUGCCUGAUUUAAUCUAUGGAAUUCAAAAGCGGCUGUGGUUAAAGCUGUGUUGUUUGGCUGGCCUUUUAGUUGGCUAAGGUGCACAUUGUAUCACGACAAUAUGACCAUAAAACAAAAUCCAUAUCCCAACAUGAACAGUAUGGUGAUGUAUGUCCUUGAAUUCUGCGUUUAGUUUUAUGGUCAACACAACUAGCUCACAUUUUUUCUUCUUGAGAAGUUAUAUGUCAUAUCAUUAGAAAAGAAUAGAGUUUUACCAUCUUAAAUGCUUCCUUAAAAUAAGCUAGCUGUUCCUUAAAAUAUACUUGUUGCUAGCUACACACAGACUGAUCUAGGCAUCAAUAU